RNAcentral lists this long non-coding RNA (28350 nucleotides) under Triticum aestivum (bread wheat). RNAcentral describes it as "long non-coding RNA (TAES_LNC013819)". Lineage: Eukaryota; Viridiplantae; Streptophyta; Magnoliopsida; Poales; Poaceae. The record is from RNAcentral.
AGAUUGUAGCAGUUUGUAAGAGUAUCCGGAAUGAUCCCUUGCAGUGAGUUGCCCGACAAGUCAAGGUACUCCAGUCUUUGGAGACGGUUGAGAGGAGGUAUCUCGCCGGUGAAGCCAUUACUGGACAGGUCCAGUCUCCUAACUCCUAAGGAACGUUAGAUUCCCGAGGGACGGUGAAAUCGUGCCUGACAGCGAUAGGGAGUGAAGGUCCAGCUCCAUGACUCGCCCUGGGUGCUUCGGGCUGCUGCAGACGACGCCCUUCCAUGUGCAAAGGGGGACACCGGCGUGCCAAGAUCUCAAGGCUUGCCUUGAGUCGUUGGUGAUGGCCCGCUUGAAAUCUAGCAGCGAGAUCAUGUCCGUGCUGUUGUCAUGGACUGCCGUCGAGGAGCAGCGGAUGCUGCCGACUCCACAACAAAUGGGCAGCAGCGACAGUAACUUGAGGAUGGUGGUGAGUCUGGCGGGUUGACUGGUACACGUAAGACCUCCCUUACCUGCAAGAGUGACGAAUUCAGAAAACAUUAGAACUCAUGCAUGUAAAGAAAGAGUUUGCUGGUAGCCGCUACGGCUAUCAUAGCACAGAGGUUUGAUUUUGUGAAAUGGUUGGUAGCAAGCAGAAAACCGACGGCAAGACGAAAGAUGAAUGUUUGGACACCUUUGCUUGGCCGGAUCGGACGAAACGGCAGCCUUUCUUGCAUGGCUUUGCUGCCGGGUGGUGAGGUCUGAGGGGUGUGUGUGCCACUGGCAGCUAUGAGUUGGAACGUUGGACUGGAUGCUCAGCUGGUUGAGGCCCCGGCCGGGGUUUAAAAAGACUCUUCUAACGUCACCGCGCGCGUUCCCACACUUAUUAGCCUUGUGACCAUGUCUGACCGGAAGGAAGACCUCAAGUCCGUCAACCUCAAGACCUCAAGUCCACCACCGGUCAAGUAAAUACUACUCCCUCCGUAUGUAGUCACUUGUUAAAAUGCCUAAAAAGACAAGUAUUUAGAAACGGAGGGAGUAGAAACUAGCAGCGCGCGACGCGACCCAGCCAGUCUCCGCGGAGCCCUCCAAGGCGGGGUACCAAGGAAGGAGGGGGCCCCAUCACGUGGAGGAAUUAAAAUCAGCUGCAUGCGCAUCUUGUGGUUGCCCGGCAACACAUCUGGUGAUACGGCAUCACAGGUGAUACGAUGCUCCAAUUGACCCUGGACCGUUUGAUCUUGUUGGAAGGGACACGAUGAAUGCACACGUGUCGGGCAGCUCCCCCACCGUGAAAUAUACAAAAACAUCCUGAUUCAUGUCUUUAAUUAAGCUUGAGGCCAUCCGGUCCUUUUUAGUCCGCAUAUAAGUUUUGUCCAAAGUCAAAAUAUCUUUAUUUUGAUCAAACUUAUUAGAAAAAGUAUCAACAUUCACAAUGCCAAGCCAAUGUUAUUAGAUUCAUUUUGAAAUGUUAUUAGAUUCCUUAUGAAACCUUCAAACACUCAAUCUCUCAUGAUGCCAUGCACUCGAGUAUCUUCCACAGAGCCUUGGAAACCUGAAAAUCACUGGAAGACGUUUUUAAGGUUAUGGAUACAAGAGCAUCAAGUCUUUGCCACGGCGUAUAGAACAACUCACCAGUCCCCUGGUGUUGCAAAAAUGCGGACAUCAGUGAGCUGAGGCUGUUGUGUGAACCAGGCUAUCCCGCGUCAAAAAUAUUGUAAGCGUUCUACCAAGCUUUAUUAUCUAAAUGUACCACGGCUAGUGCACGCAGACGAUGAGCUACGGCCGGGCGUCGUCUUCCGGUCGACGCGCCGCAGCUCGCCCUGCAGCCACAUUCUACUUCGGCGUGUGCUUGACGCCAUCUUCGGGCAACAUUUCAACGCGCGACCCUAAAUGGUCUGGCCGUAUCCGUUUGGGGGUAAACGAACAUAACAGACUGCCCAACGCAUGAAAGCAAAUAGACCAAUGUCCGCUUUGAGUCCGCUUUCGACCCAUUCUAGGCCCAAAUUUCGGCCGCGCUUGUGUCAAAACGGACAGCGCGCGGACGGGCGGGACGCGCACCCUUCUCCUCCCCUGGACAGCCCGUCAGGGACAUGCCCGCCCACUUUCCCUCCAUUUCGCCCAAAACCCAACCGCGCCCUUUCCCUCUCCCUCCACCAUUGCUGGUGGCCCGACGAAUCCCGGCGACCCGGCCGCGGUCGCGCUCCCCAUGAUGAAGAAGAAGCCUGCCAAGAAGCCGCGGUCGGAGCUCACAUCGGCAGAGGUCGCCAAGCUCGACGCCGAAUCAGCCAAGAGGAGGAACCGGCAGAUGAAGGUGGCGGAGAAGAAGGUCGCUACCGACUACGUCGCGGAGGCGGCCGUGCUUCUUGCCACACAUCACCAGGGCUACAUCGAGGACAAGGAGUCUAUAGUCGCCAAGGCACACGCCCUCCUCAUGCUAGGGUUGUGCCGACUCCCGCCGGUCAUUAUCUCAGUCACUGCCAUGGCUGCGGCCAGCACAGGCUCGUCGACCGUUCGUCCUCCACAGCACCAGUCCCCGAGCUCGCCCGUCGCACCUGAGACACCAGGGUAUCGUGCGGUGCCGCUGCUUAGCCAUGGGCACACACGGUUCUCUACGUCGCCGAACUGUAGGAUGUUCACUCUGGCCACGCCCUCGGGCAUUAUCGAUCAACGUCAUGCCGGGGUACAGUGGCGAUGGCCAGCCGUCCGACGGGACGCAAAUGAAGCAGCUCCGGUCGAUCCCUUCGGCCAACAUGGCCGUCGCUCGCAGGCUGUUCGACGAAAUGCCACUGACGACGCCGACGAUCGACGACCCUGACUACGCGACGCUCACGUAGAACGUCAUCUUGGAGGGCCAUGGUGAGGCUUUCCACGUCGACGGCCAAGGCCAGGCUUUUGAUCCCGAUGCGACCCAAAGCCAGGACGACCGUGACCACUAUGAUGACACUCAAUUCGCGGGGCAUGAUGAAGAUGAGGACGACCAUGGCAACUCAUGGCAUGAAGGUGAUUACCUGUAUUGUGAGGAUGAGGAAGAGGAGGUCGACAUUUCGGUGGAGCCAUUGGUGUUUAUCGAUGAGCUCACCCAGAGGGCCGAAGCACAAAAGAAGAGGCAAAGCAUUCACACGGGAUCAUACACUCAAGAAGAGGACACUUUGAUUUGCGAGAAUUGGAUGGAGAUGGGCUAAGAUCCCAUGAAAGGUGCCGAGCAAAAAUGAUCCAUCUUUUGGACUAGAGUUCAUAAGAACUUUCACCAGCAAAGGAAGUUUCCCCCCUACCAAUUUGCAAGCACCCGCGGCAUCAAUUCAAUCCAAAAGAGAUGGGGGUUCAUUCAACAACAGUGGAACAAGUAUUGUGUUGCUCUUGAGAGCGUUGAAGCCCAUCCGUGAGUGGCCUAGGCAUUGGUGACUUGGUAUGGACCUCUUGUUUUUUCAUCUUUGUGUCAUUUCAUGUUGGCAUGCCAUUUAUGUUUGAUGCAUCUUGUGUCCUUCCAUGUUACAAUUGCGGCCACAUCUUUAAUUGUGUAGGCAAUCCAAUCUUUGGAAGUCUUCAAGGCCCGACACAAGUACAAGCCAUUUACUCUCACGGAUUGUUGGUCGCGUACCAAAGAUUACCUCAAGUUCAAAGACGAGGGAGACUUGCUCAAGAGGCCGAGGGGCAAGACAAGCUCGAAGGCCGACGAGAAGCGUGAUGCGUCUUACAUAGUCUUGCAAGGAACUUUGGAAAACAUGAUGAGUCGAAAAGAAGUGAGGGAGCAGAGGAGGAGCAAAUGAAAAUAUACCUAUAUCUUCAAACGAAGAAGCUUGACAUGGAGGAGGCUGCGAAGAGGAGGAAGCUUGACAUCGAGGAGGCCGCUCGACUCAAGAAGCUCAAGAUCGGGGCCACCAAUGCCGAGACCAAAGCAAAAAAGGUGGCACUCGUGAUCAUGAGCGUCAACAAAAACAACAUGUCACCAAAGAGGAAGGCUUGGUUCGCGAACCGGCAGAAGGAGAUGUUUCCUCGUGAUGGCCUGAAGUAGGUGAGACCUCGGCCAUGGACUGUGACCAUUCAUUUUGAAGGCUGGAUGGUGUGUCGGCCACUGGCUUUGCCGCCGGCACUAAAAACUUGUCCAUUUUGAAGACUAACUCAUGUGCCGGCCGCUGGCUUUUGUUGGGGAUCGUAGCAGAAAUUUAAAAUUUUCUACGCAUCACCAAGAUCCAUCUAUGGAGUUUACUAGCAACAAGAAGGAAGGAGUGCAUCUACAUACCCUUGUAGAUCGCGAGCGGAAGCGUUCAAGUGAACGGGGUUGAUGGAGUCGUACUCGUCGUGAUACAAAUCACCGAUGACCGAGCGCCGAACGGACGGCACCUCCGCGUUCAACACACGUACGGAGCAACGACGUCUCCUCCUUCUUGAUCCAGCAAGGGGGAAGGAGAGGUUGAUGGAGAUCCAGCAGCACGACGGCGUGGUGGUGGAAGUAGCGGCGAUCCCGGCAGGGCUUCGCCAAGCGCAAGCGGGAGGGAGAGGUGUCACGGGAGGGAGAGGGAGGCGCCAGGGGCUGUGGUGCGGCUGCCCUCCCUCCCCCCCACUAUUUAUAGGGGUCCUGGGGGGCGCCGGCCCCCUGGAGAUCCCAUCUGAGGGGGGGGGGGCGGCGGCCAAGGGGGUGGCUUGCCCCCCAAGCCAAGUGGGGCGCCCCCCACCCCCAGGGUCUCCAACCCUAGGCGCAGGGGAGGCCCAAGGGGGGCCCACCAGCCCACCAGUGGCUGGUUCCCCUCCCCACUUCAGCCCAUGGGGCCCUUCGGGACAGGUGGCCUCAGCCGGUGGACCCCCGGGACCCUUCCGGUGGUCCCGGUACAAUACCGGUAACCCCCGAAACUUUCCCGGUGGCCGAAACUGGACUUCCUAUAUAUAAUUCUUCACCUCCGGACCAUUCCGGAACUCCUCGUGACGUCCGGGAUCUCAUCCGGGACUCCGAACAACUUUUGGGUUUCCGCAUACUAAUAUCUCUACAACCCUAGCGUCACCGAACCUUAAGUGUGUAGACCCUACGGGUUCGGGAGACAUGCAGACAUGAUCGAGACGACUCUCAGAUCAAUAACCAACAGCAGGAUCUGGAUACCCAUGUUGGCUCCCACAUGUUCCACGAUGAUCUCAUCGGAUGAACCACGAUGUAGAGGAUUCAAUCAAUCCCGUAUACAAUUCCCUUUGUCAAUCGGUACGUUACUUGCCCGAGAUUCGAUCGUCGGUAUCCCAAUACCUCGUUCAAUCUCGUUACCGGCAAGUUACUUUACUCGUACUAUAAUGCAUGAUCCCGUGACCAGACACUUGGUCACAUUGAACUCAUUAUGAUGAUGCAUUACCGAGUGGGCCCAGAGAUACCUCUCCGUCAUACGGAGUGACAAAUCCCAGUCUCGAUCCAUGUCAACCCAACAGACACUUUCAGAGAUACCUGUAGUGUACCUUUAUAGUCACCCAGUUACGUUGUGACGUUUGGUACACCCAAAGCACUCUUACGGCAUCCGGGAGUUACACGAUCUCAUGGUCUAAGGAAAAGAUACUUGACAUUGGAAAAGCUCUAGCAAACGAACUACACGAUCUUUGCGCUAUGCUUAGGAUUGGGUCUUGUCCAUCACAUCAUUCUCCUAAUGAUGUGAUCCCGUUAUCAAUGACAUCCAAUGUCCAUAGUCAGGAAACCAUGACUAUCUGUUGAUCAACGAGCUAGUCAACUAGAGGCUCACUAGGGACAUGUUGUGGUCUAUGUAUUCACACAUGUAUUACGAUUUCCGGAUAACACAAUUAUAGCAUGAACAAUAGACAAUUAUCAUGAACAAAGAAAUAUAAUAAUAACCAUUUUAUUAUUGCCUCUAGGGCAUAUUUCCAACAGUCUCCCACUUGCACUAGAGUCAAUAAUCUAGUUACAUUGUGAUGAAUCGAACACCCAUAGAGUUCUGGUGUUGAUCAUGUUUUGCUCUAGGGAGAGGUUUAGUCAACGGAUCUGCUACAUUCAGGUCCGUAUGUACUUUACAAAUAUCUAUGUCUCCAUUUUGAACACUUUCACGAAUGGAGUUGAAGCGACGCUUGAUAUGCCUGGUCUUCCUGUGAAACCUGGGCUCCUUGGCAAGGGCAAUAGCUCCAGUGUUGUCACAGAAGAGAGUCAUUGGGCCCGACGCAUUGGGAAUCACCCCUAGGUCGGUAAUGAACUCCUUUAUCCAGAUUGCUUCCUGUGCUGCCUCUGAGGCCACCAUGUACUCCGCUUCACAUGUAGAUCCCGCCACGACGCUUUGCUUGCAACUGCACCAGCGUACUGCCCCUCCAUUCAAAAUAUACACGUAUCCGGUCUGUGACUUAGAGUCAUCCAGAUCUGUGUCGAAGCUAGCGUCGACGUAACCCUUUACGACGAGCUCUUCGUCACCUCCAUAUACGAGAAACAUAUCCUUAGUCCUCUUUAGGUACUUCAGGAUAUUCUUGACCGCUGUCCAGUGUUCCAUGCCGGGAUUACUUUGGUACCUUCCUACCAAACUUACGGCAAGGUUUACAUCAGGUUUGGUACACAGCAUGGCAUACAUAAUAGACCCUAUGGCCGAGGCAUAGGGGAUGACACUCAUCUUUUCUCUAUCUUCUGCCGUGGUCGGGCAUUGAGCCGUGCUCAAUUGCACACCUUGCAAUACAGGCAAGAACCCCUUCUUGGACUGAUCCAUAUUGAACUUCUUCAAUAUCUUGUCAAGGUAUGUACUCUGUGAAAGACCAAUGAGGCGUCUUGAUCUAUCUCUAUAGAUCUUGAUGCCUAAUAUAUAAGCAGCUUCUCCAAGGUCCUUCAUUGAAAAACAUUCAUUCAAGUAGGCCUUUAUACUUUCCAAGAAUUCUAUAUCAUUUCCCAUCAAUAGUAUGUCAUCCACAUAUAAUAUGAGAAAUGCUACAGAGCUCCCACUCACUUUCUUGUAAACACAGGCUUCUCCAUAAGUCUGUGUAAACCCAAACGCUUUGAUCAUCUCAUCAAAUCGAAUGUUCCAACUCCGAGAUGCUUGCACCAGCCCAUAGAUGGAGCGCUGGAGCUUGCAUACCUUGUUAGCAUUCUUAGGAUCGACAAAACCUUCCGGAUGCAUCAUAUACAAUUCUUCCUUAAGAAAGCCGUUAAGGAAUGCCGUUUUGACGUCCAUUUGCCAUAUCUCAUAAUCAUAGAAUGCGGCAAUUGCUAACAUGAUUCGGACGGACUUCAGCUUCGCUACGGGUGAGAAAGUCUCAUCGUAGUCAACCCCUUGAACUUGUCGAUAACCCUUAGCGACAAGUCGAGCCUUAUAGAUGGUCACGUUACCAUCCGCGUCUGUCUUCUUCUUAAAGAUCCAUUUAUUUUCUAUGGCUCGCCGAUCAUCGGGCAAGUCAGUUAAAGUCCAUACUUCGUUUUCAUACAUGGAUCCUACCUCGGAUUGCAUGGCUUCUAGCCAUUUGUUGGAAUCCGGGCCCGCCAUCGCUUCUUCAUAGUUCGAAGGUUCACCGUUGUCUAACAACAAGAUUUCCAGGACAGGGUUGCCGUACCACUCUGGUGCGGAACGUAUCCUUGUGGACCUACGAAGUUCAGCAGUAACUUGAUCCGAAGCUUCAUGAUCAUCAUCAUUAACUUCCUCCCAAGUCGGUGUAGGCACCACAGGAACAUCUUCCCGCGCUGCGCUACUUUCUGGUUCGGAAGGGGUGACUAUCACCUCAUCAAGUUCCACUUUCCUCCCACUCAAUUCUUUCGAGAGAAACUCUUUCUCCAGAAAGGACCCGUUCUUGGCAACAAAGAUUUUGCCUUUAGAUCUGAGGUAGAAGGUAUACCCAAUGGUUUCCUUAGGGUAUCCUAUGAAGACGCAUUUUUCCGGCUUGGGUUCGAGCUUUUCAGGUUGAAGUUUCUUGACAUAAGCAUCGCAUCCCCAAACUUUUGGAAACGACGGCUUAGGUUUCUUCCCAAACCAUAAUUCAUACGGUGUCGUCUCAACGGAUUUCGACGGAGCCCUAUUUAAAGUGAAUGCGGCAGUCUCUAAAGCAUAGCCCCAAAAUGAGAGCGGUAGAUCGGUAAGAGACAUCAUAGAUCGCACCAUAUCCAAUAGAGUGCGAUUACGACGUUCGGACACACCAUUUCGCUAAGGUGUUCCAGUCAGCGUGAGUUGUGAAACUAUUCCACAUUUCCUUAAGUUUGUGCCAAAUUCGUGACUCAAAUAUUCCCCUCCAUGAUCUAAUCGUAAGAACUUUAUUUUCCUGUCACGUUGAUUCUCAACCUCACUCUGAAAUUCCUUGAACCUUUCAAAGGUCUCAGACUUGUGUUUCAUUAGGUAGACAUACCCAUAUCUACUUAAGUCAUCAGUGAGAGUGAGAACAUAACGAUAGCCUCCGCGAGCCUCAACACUCAUUGGACCGCACACAUCGGUAUGUAUGAUUUCCAAUAAGUUGGUUGCUCGCUCCAUUGUUCCGGAGAACGGAGUCUUGGUCAUCUUACCCAUGAGGCAUGGUUCGCACGUGUCAAAUGAUUCAUAAUCAAGAGACUCCAAAAGUCCAUCUGCAUGGAGCUUCUUCAUGCGUUUGACACCAAUGUGACCAAGGCGGCAGUGCCACAAGUAUGUGGGACUAUCGUUAUCAACUUUACAUCUUUUGGUAUUCACACUAUGAAUAUGUGUAACAUCACGUUCGAGAUUCAUUAAGAAUAAACCAUUGACCAGAGGGGCAUGACCAUAAAACAUAUCUCUCAUAUAAAUAGAACAACCAUUAUUCUCAGAUUUAAAUGAGUAGCCAUCUCGAAUUAAACGAGAUCCUGAUACAAUGUUCAUGCUCAAAGCUGGCACUAAAUAACAAUUAUUGAGGUUUAAAACUAAUCCCGUAGGUAAAUGUAGAGGUAGCGUGCCGACGGCGAUCACAUCGACCUUGGAACCAUUCCCGACGCGCAACGUCACCUCGUCCUUCGCCAGUCUCCGCUUAUUUCGCAGCUCCUGUUUUGAGUUACAAAUAUGAGCAACUGCACCGGUAUCAAAUACCCAGGAGCUACUACGAGUACUGGUAAGGUACACAUCAAUUACAUGUAUAUCACAUAUACCUUUGGUGUUGCCGGCCUUCUUGUCCGCUAACUAUUUGGGGCAGUUCCGCUUGCAGUGACCACUUUCCUUGCAAUAAAAGCACUCAGUCUCAGGCUUGGGUCCAUUCUUUGGCUUCUUCCCGGCAACUGCCUUACCGGGCGCGCAACUCCCUUGCCGUCCUUCUUGAAGUUCUUCUUACCCUUGCCUUUCUUGAACUUAGUGGUUUUAUUCACCAUCAACACUUGAUGUUCCUUUCUGAUCUCCACCUCCGCUGAUUUCAGCAUUGAAUAUACCUCAGGAAUGGUCUUUUCCAUCCCCUGCAUAUUGAAGUUCAUCACAAAGCUCUUUUAGCUCGGUGGAAGCGACUGAAGGAUUCUGUCAAUGACCACGUCAUCCGGGAGAUUAACUCCCAGCUGAGUCAAACGGUUGUGCAACCCAGACAUUUUGAGUAUGUGCUCACUGACAGAACUGUUUUCCUCCAUCUUACAACUGAAGAACUUGUCUGAGACUUCAUAUCUCUCGACCCGGGCAUGAGCUUGGAAAACCAUUUUCAGCUCUUCGAACAUCUCAUAUGCUCCGUGUCGCUCAAAACGCUUUUGGAGCCCCGGUUCUAAGCUGUAAAGCAUGCCGCACUGAACGAGGGAGUAAUCAUCAGCACGUGACUGCCAAGCGUUCAUAACGUCUUGGUUCUCUGGGAUUGGUGCUUCACCUAGCGGUGCUUCUAGGACAUAAUCUUUCUUGGCAGCUAUGAGGAUGAUCCUCAGGUUCUGGACCGAGUCCGUAUAGUUGCUGUCAUCAUCUUUCAGCUUGGUUUCUCUAGGAACGCGGUGAAGUUGAGGGCAACGUGGGCCAUUUGAUCUACAAGACAUAUUGUAAAUAUUUAUAGACUAAGUUCAUGAUAAUUAAGUUCAUCUAAUCAAAAUAUUCAAUGAACUCCCACUCAGAUAGACAUCCCUCUAGUCAUCUAAGUGAAACAUGAUCCGAGUCAACUAGGCCGUGUCCGAUCAUCACGUGAGACGGACUAGUCAAUAUCGGUGAACAUCUUCAUGUUGAUCGUAUCUUCUAUACGACUCAUGCUCGACCUUUCGGUCUUCCGUGUUCCGAGGCCAUGUCUGUACAUGCUAGGCUCGUUAAGUCAACCUAAGUGUAUUGCGUGUGUUCCGAGGCCAUGUCUGUACAUGCUAGGCUCGUCAACACCCGUUGUAUGCGAACGUUAGAAUCUAUCACACCCGAUCAUCACGUGGUGCUUCGAAACAACGAACCUUCACAACGGUGCACAGUUAGGGGAACACUUUCUUGAAAUUAUUAUAAGGGAUCAUCUUACUUACUACCGUCGUUCUAAGCAAAUAAGAUGUAAAACAUGAUAAACAUCACAUGCAAUCAAAUAGUGACAUGAUAUGGCCAAUAUCAUUUUGCUCCUUUGAUCUCCAUCUUUGGGGCGCCAUGAUCAUCUUCGUCACCGGCAUGACACCAUGAUCUCCAUCAUCAUGAUCUCCAUCAUCGUGUCUUCAUGAAGUUGUCACGCCAACGAUUACUUCUACUUCUAUGGCUAACGUGUUUAGCAAUAAAGUAAAGUAAUUUACAUGGCGUUAUUCAAUGACACGCAGGUCAUACAAAAAAUAAAGACAACUCCUAUGGCUCCUGCCGGUUGUCAUACUCAUCGACAUGCAAGUCGUGAUUCCUAUUAUAAGAACAUGAUCAAUCUCAUACAUCACAUAUAUCUCAUUCAUCACUUCCUUUUGGCCAUAUCACAUCACAAGGCAUAUGCGGCAAAAACAAGUUAGACGUCCUCUAAUUGUUGUUGCAAGUUUUUACGUGGCUUCUAUAGGUUUCUAGCAAGAACGUUUCUUACCUACGUAAAACCACAACGUGAUAUGCCAAUUUCUAUUUACCCUUCAUAAGGACCCUUUUCAUCGAAUCCGUUCCGACUAAAGUGGGAGAGACAGACACCCGCUAGCCACCUGAUGCAACUAGUGCAUGUCAGUCGGUGGAACCUGUCUCACGUAAGCGUAUGUGUAAGGUCGGUCCGGGCCGCUUCAUCCCACAAUACCGCCGAAACAAGAUAAGACUAGUAUUGGCAAGAAAAAUUGCCAACAUCUACGCCCACAACUGCUUUGUGUUCUACUCAUGCAUAGAAACUACGCAUAGGCCUGGCUCAUGAUGCCACUGUUGGGGAUUGUAGCAGAAAUUUAAAAUUUUCUAUGCAUCACCAAGAUCCAUCUAUGGAGUUUACUAGCAACGAGAAGGAAGGAGUGCAUCUACAUACCCUUGUAGAUCGCGAGCGGAAGCGUUCAAGUGAACGGGGUUGAUGGAGUCGUACUCGUCGUGAUCCAAAUCACCGAUGACCGAGCGCCGAACGGACGGCACCUCCGCGUUCAACACACGUACGGAGCAGCGACGUCUCCUCCUUCUUGAUCCAGCAAGGGGGAAGGAGAGGUUGAUGGAGAUCUAGCAGCACGACGGCGUGGUGGUGGAAGUAGCGGGGAUCCCGGCAGGGCUUCGCCAAGCGCAAGCGGGAGGGAGAGGUGUCACGGGAGGGAGAGGGAGGCGCCAAGGGCUGUGGUGCGGCUGCCCUCCCUCCCCCCACUAUUUAUAGGGGUCCUGGGGGGGCGCCGGCCCCCUGGAGAUCCCAUAUGAGGGGGGGCGGCGGCCAAGGGGGUGGCUUGCCCCCCAAGCCAAGUGGGGCGCCCCCACCCCCAGGGUUUCCAACCCUAGGCGCAGGGGAGGCCUAAGGGGGGCGCACCAGCCCACCAGUGUCUGGUUCCCCUCCCCACUUCAGCCCAUGGGGCCCUCCAGGGCAGGUGGCCCCAUCCGGUGGACCCCCGGGACCCUUCCGGUGGUCCCGGUACAAUACCGGUAACCCCCGAAACUUUCCCGGUGGCCGAAACUGGACUUCCUAUAUAUAAUUCUUCACCUCCGGACCAUUCCGGAACUCCUCGUGACGUCCGGGAUCUCAUCCAGGACUCCGAACAACUUUCGGGUUUCCGCAUACUAAUAUCUCUACAACCCUAGCGUCACCGAACCUUAAGUGUGUAGACCCUACGGGUUCGGGAGACAUGCAGACAUGACCGAUACGACUCUCCGGUCAAUAACCAACAGCGGGAUCUGGAUACCCAUGUUGGCUCCCACAUGUUCCACGAUGAUCUCAUCGGGUGAACCACGAUGUCGAGGAUUCAAUCAAUCCCGUAUACAAUUCCCUUUGUCAAUCGGUACGUUACUUGCCCGAGAUUCGAUCGUCGGUAUCCCAAUACCUCGUUCAAUCUCGUUACCGGCAAGUCACUUUACUCGUACCAUAAUGCAUGAUCCCGUGACCAGACACUUGGUCACAUUGAGCUCAUUAUGAUGAUGCAUUACCGAGUGGGCCCAGAGAUACCUCUCCGUCAUACGGAGUGACAAAUCCCAGUCUCGAUCCGUGUCAACCCAACAGACACUUUCAGAGAUACCUGUAGUGUACCUUUAUAUUCACCCAGUUACGUUGUGACGUUUGGUACACCCAAAGCACUCUUACGGCAUCCGGGAGUUACACGAUCUCAUGGUCUAAGGAAAAGAUACUUGACAUUGGAAAAGCUCUAGCAAACGAACUACACGAUCUUUGCGCUAUGCUUAGGAUUGGGUCUUGUCCAUCACAUCAUUCUCCUAAUGAUGUGAUCCCGUUAUCAAUGACAUCCGAUGUCCAUAGUCAGGAAACCAUGACUAUCUGUUGAUCAACGAGCUAGUCAACUAGAGGCUCACUAGGGACAUGUUGUGGUCUAUGUAUUCACACAUGUAUUACGAUUUCCGGAUAACACAAUUAUAGCAUGAACAAUAGACAAUUAUCAUGAACAAAGAAAUAUAAUAAUAACCAUUUUAUUAUUGCCUCUAGGGCAUAUUUCCAACAGCUUUGUUGCCAGUGUAAAAAACAUGUCCAUUUUGAAGAUCAAUUGGGGAUAUGCCUGUUUGAGCAAUUGUCAGGAUUGAAGAUCAAUUUUAACAAAAGUGAAUUGUUCUGUUUGGGAGAGCCAAAGAUAUAUGCUCAGUAAAAGGUUGUACACUCUUUCGGUUGAGACCGAAGGUACGUGGGUACAGAUUUUGCGUAAUAAGUGCCUGCAACCUAAGACAUUGGCCCAGGUUACCGUAAGACCCAAUGAUUUGAAGGAAAUAUGCCCUAGAGGCAAUAAUAAAGUUGUUAUUUUAUAUUUCCAUAUUCAUGAUAAAACUUUAUUAUUCAUGCUAGAAUUGUAUUGAUCAGAAACUUAAAUACAUGCGUGAAUACAUAAACAAAUACCGUGUCCCUAGUAAGCCUCUAAUAGACUAGCUAGUUGAUCAAAGAUGGUUAAGAUUUCCUAACCAUAGACAUGUGUUGUCAUUUGAUAACGGGAUCAUAUCAUUAGGAGAAUGAUGUGAUGGACAAGACCCAUCCGUUAGCUUAGCAUAUUGAUCGUUCAGUUUAUUGCUAUUGCUUUAUUAAUGUCAAAUACAUAUGAGAUUAUGCAACUCCCGGAUACCGGAGGAAUACCUUGUGUGCUAUCAAAUGUCACAACAUAACUGGUUUAUCAUAAAGAGGCUCUACAGGUAUCUCCGAAGGUGUUUGUUGAGCUGGCAUAGAUCAAGAUUAGGAUUUGUCACUCUGAGUAUCGGAGAGGUAUCUCUGGGCUCCCUCGGUAAUAUACAUCAUAAGAAGCCUUGCAAGCAAAGUGACUAAUGAGUUAGUUGCAAGAUGAUGUAUUACAGAACGAGUAAAGAGACUUGCCGGUAAUGAGAUUGAACCAGGUAUGAAGAUACCGAUGAUCGAAUCUUGAGCAAGUAACAUACCGAUGGACAAAUGGAAUUACGUAUGUUGUCAUAAGGUUUGACCGAUAAAGAUCUUCGUAGAAUAUGUGGAGCCAAUAUGGGCAUCCAAGUUUCUCUAUUGGUUAUUGACCGGAGAGGUGUCUCAGUCAUGUCUACAUAGUUCUCGAACCCGUAGGGUCCGCACGCUUAACGUUCGUUGACGAUAUAGUGUUAUAUGAGUUAUAUGAUUUGGUGACCGAAUGUUGUUCGGAGUCCCUGAUGAGAUCACGGACAUGACGAGGAGCUCAUAAAUAGUCCGGAGGUAAAGAUUGAUAUAUAGGACUGGUAUUCGGACACCGAAAGUGUUUCGGAGUUUACCGGAUGGUCAUCGGAAUAUCGGAGGGGGUAACGGACACCCCCGGGAGGGCAAUGGGCCUAUUGGACCAUUAGAGGGGAGUACACCAGCCCACAAGGGACUGGCGCACCCCCUAUGGCAGCCGCCCAAGUGGGAGAAAGGAAAGGGGGGAUUCAGCCUCCCCCUUCCUUCCGUCUCCCCCCUUUCCUUCCCCCCUCUGGCAAAUAUGGUAAGGGGCCGCCACUUGGGAAGGACCCCAAGUAGCCUUGGGCCUACUUGGGGGCGCCUCCUAGAUGCUCCCUCCUCCCCCCCCACCUAUAUAUAUGUGGGAGGGGGCACCACACAUAACCACGACAAUUGCUUAGCCGUGUGCGGCGUCCCUCUCCACCGUUUACACCCUCGGUCAUAUUUUUGUAGUGCUUAGGCGAAGCCCUACGGAGAUAGCUUCAUCAUCACCGUCACCACGCCAUCGUGCUGCCGGAACUCAUCCACUACUUCGCCGUCUUGCUAGAUCAAGAAGGCGAGGACGUCACUGAGCUGAACGUGUGCUGAAUGCGGAGGUGUCGUACGUUCGGUACUCGAUCGGUUGGAUCGCGAAGAAGUUCGACUACAUCAACCGUGUUACUAAAUGCUUCCGCUUACGGUCUACGAGGGUACUUAGACACACUCUCCCCUCUCGUUGCUAUGCAUCUCCUUGAUAAAUCUUGCGUGUGCGUAGAAUUUUUUUUGUUUUCCAUGCAACGCUUCCCAACAUGAUUCACCUUUCCGAAAGCAGUUAAUGAGGACGAAAGCAGCCUUUUUUCAUAGGACUAAAUUCAUCAUUGGGAACAGUAAUUUGACUAGAUUCUGGGAGGAUACAUGGUUAGGGGAGACGCCUGUAGCCACACAAUAUCCGUCUCUUUAUAAUAUUCUACAUCGUAAGGGCGCUUAUGUUGCUAUAGUAUUAUAGUAUGUUUCUCUAAACAUCCAGUUCAGGAGGUCCUUAGUAGGAGACCGAUGGGACGCGUGGCUAUAUCUUGUGCGGAGGCUGAUGGACAUUCACCUCUCUGAUGAGCCAGAUUCGAUUCACUGGAAACUAUCUAUGAAUAGAGUUUUUCAGUGAAAUCUAUGUAUCUAGACUUAACUAAUUCUAGUCCAAUUCCAAAAUCAUUACAUAUUUGGAAGAUUAAAGUACCUUUAAGAAUCAAAAUCUUCAUGUGGCUUGUUCACAAGGAGGUGAUUUAGACUAAGGAUAACUUGGCAAAGCGAAGAUGGGAGGGUAGUAAGCGAUGUUGCUUUUGUGAUCAGGAUGAAACUAUUAAAAACCUCUUUCUCGAUUGUCCUCUUGCCAAACUUUUAUGGCAUACAGUUCAUAUAGCCUUUAAUGUCAGCUCUCCAAAUAGUAUUAACACAUUAUUUGAGGAGCUAUUUUACGGUAUCUUGGUACUCCCAAAACAUGUGCUGGAGUACCGAACAGAUCUUGCCGUUCGUUGUGAAGGGUAACUUAGUUAUUUUCCCACGGGUACUUCCGAUAUUCUCCCUGUGAUCUCGCAUGGAUGCCAAAUACAGCUCCCAAAAGAAAAACAAAAACUCCAGAUUGAGUGCCAGAAAAAGCUCCCGUUCGUUCGGCCGGAAAUCCCGAUCGCUCGGUGCCUAGCAAUGGAGUGGCCGCGCCACCUCAAACCUGAUCCUUCGCUACCGCAAGCCGCCCUGCUGCGCCGCCCGUCGAGCCGCCACCGGCCAACCCCUGUACUGCGCCAUGGUUGCGGAAACGAGUCCUCGAUCAGCUUCACGGCAUAGAUCUUGUUCCGGCUCGUCCCAGACGCGGAUGCUUUCCCGUUACUCACCUACGAAGGACGUGCAUAGCCCGCCGGCAUGGGCUCAUCCCGGCAUCUCCAGACGCUGCGUGCAUAUCAAUAUACUACGUUUUGCUUGUAAUUGAAAAAAAAGACGCCAGAAUACAUGGGAGGUUACGAGGGGAACCACGAAUAUGAAAUAAUAUUAGAAUGUUAUAUAUGAUUACGGUUUUGCCCCUUAAAUCAAGGUACUCCAGUACUUUUUAACUUAGUACUCCGUUGGAUGAGUGAUGGAGUACCAAGCAAUACUGUCCACUGGAUCAAGAGAAAUGUACGGUCUAUAUUUAUUUCGGGGUACUGUAAAAGAUCUCUAUUUGAGAGGUGGCUAAAUGGAGUGGAACCAAACUAUGCGGGACAUAUCCGGAUAGGAGUAUGCGCAUUACUUUGGGCUAUAUGGAACUGCAGAAAUGAAAUAAUUUUUAAAGUCAAACUCAUAUAAAUAUUUUGCAGGUUAUCUACAGGGCCACUGCAUGGUUCCAUAUGUGGUCAUUACUCACUCUUGCGGAAGCCAGGGAGCAUUUGGCUAUUGGGUGUACCCGGUGAAAGAUAGUAGCAAAGGGUACUUACAACCGGUUUGGAUGUCAAUCCAAUAAUAAGCAAGGUGUUUAGUCAUCUCAACCUAUUUUCACCGGUUGUUGUCAACUUUUAUUUGCUCUUCUUCCUUUUUAGCUCCAUGUGAGCUUGUAUUGAACCGCGGACAUUUUGGUACUUUUGCUUAAUAUAUUAUGGCUGCAUGAAUCAGUCUGAUGUAGAGGCCGGGGAUGACCCUCCUUUUCAAAAAUAAAGUCAAAGCGUCUUCGGCUCGCUUCAGUGCUUAUAGUUGUUGCUAGGUGGUCUACGAAUCUGGAUGUAGUUUUAUUAUUUCUUGUGUUCGUUGUAUUACCAUGAUUGGAGAUGGAUAGAUCAGAAGUUUCCCGCAAAAUAAUAAGAAUUGCCAUAAGUUUAGUAUCGGAAAAAGUUAGCAUGAAAAGAUCAAGACGUGCCUAGCUUAGCUUGUAAACAAUACAAUGGAGUGGUUGGUAAUCGGCCAGCAUUGUUUAUGUGACACUCCCCUUUUAAUCUGUUUUGCUGAUUGAGCACUGAGAGCCACGAUCUCAGUGGAUCGUUUAUUGCCAAAGUGAAUGUUCGGAAGGUCCCAACCCCGUGAAUUACAAUAAUCAGGUAGUACAAUGAUAGGUCUGCUCUUGACGUCUUCUUGGUGAGCAUAAAAUAGGCCAAAGAAUACGAGUGACAUGCAACUAAGUAUUGUAAUGACGUAGUACAAUAAUCAGGUAGAACAUACUGUGUUUCUUCUCUCCGAGAGAUGGCCGGACAUGCGGGCAGAUCCAGUGUUCCUCCAAAAAAAAGUCCAUGUUGCCUUCAAGUGAGACGGAACUGUUAUUUUCAACAAAUAUACUCCGUGUCAUGGCACACCACCUUGCAGGUUAUUAUCAGACAGAUCCAGAUGGGUGAGCUGCUUUAAGCCGCCAAGCUCUAUUGGGAUGAAGCCCCAAAAAUUGUUUCGCUGAAGGAUUAGGUAUUCUAACUGUUCAAGAUUACCAAAAGAACCUGGAACUUGACCAAUGAAAUUGUUGGAAGAAAAGUUUAACAGUCUUAGCCCUGAAAUAUUGCCUAGUGAAGCAGGGAGAUGACCUUCAAAAUUGUUAUUGUCCAAACAGAGAUGUUUAAGAUCUGGGAAGGUGUCACCAAAGUUCGAUGGCAGUGUUUUUCCAAGCAUAUUGGAAUAUAAGUAUAAAUAUUGGAGAGAAGACUGAUUGUAUUUGUACAGGGUUUCUGGUAUUCCACCUGAUAGCAUAUUUCCAGCAAGGCCUAAAUAAACAAGAGAUGGGAAACUUCCCAUCUCAUCAGGAAUGGUUAUUGACCGGAGAGGUGUCUCAGUCAUGUCUACAUAGUUCUCGAACCCGUAGGGUCCGCACGCUUAACGUUCGUUGACGAUAUAGUGUUAUAUGAGUUAUAUGAUUUGGUGACCGAAUGUUGUUCGGAGUCCCUGAUGAGAUCACGGACAUGACGAGGAGCUCAUAAAUAGUCCGGAGGUAAAGAUUGAUAUAUAGGACUGGUAUUCGGACACCGAAAGUGUUUCGGAGUUUACCGGAUGGUCAUCGGAAUAUCGGAGGGGGUAACGGACACCCCCGGGAGGGCAAUGGGCCUAUUGGACCAUUAGAGGGGAGUACACCAGCCCACAAGGGACUGGCGCACCCCCUAUGGCAGCCGCCCAAGUGGGAGAAAGGAAAGGGGGGAUUCAGCCUCCCCCUUCCUUCCGUCUCCCCCCUUUCCUUCCCCCCUCUGGCAAAUAUGGUAAGGGGCCGCCACUUGGGAAGGACCCCAAGUAGCCUUGGGCCUACUUGGGGGCGCCUCCUAGAUGCUCCCUCCUCCCCCCCCCACCUAUAUAUAUGUGGGAGGGGGCACCACACAUAACCACGACAAUUGCUUAGCCGUGUGCGGCGUCCCUCUCCACCGUUUACACCCUCGGUCAUAUUUUUGUAGUGCUUAGGCGAAGCCCUACGGAGAUAGCUUCAUCAUCACCGUCACCACGCCAUCGUGCUGCUGGAACUCAUCCACUACUUCGCCGUCUUGCUAGAUCAAGAAGGCGAGGACGUCACUGAGCUGAACGUGUGCUGAAUGCGGAGGUGUCGUACGUUCGGUACUCGAUCGGUUGGAUCGCGAAGAAGUUCGACUACAUCAACCGUGUUACUAAAUGCUUCCGCUUACGGUCUACGAGGGUACUUAGACACACUCUCCCCUCUCGUUGCUAUGCAUCUCCUUGAUAAAUCUUGCGUGUGCGUAGAAUUUUUUUUGUUUUCCAUGCAACGCUUCCCAACAUGAUUCACCUUUCCGAAAGCAGUUAAUGAGGACGAAAGCAGCCUUUUUUCAUAGGACUAAAUUCAUCAUUGGGAACAGUAAUUUGACUAGAUUCUGGGAGGAUACAUGGUUAGGGGAGACGCCUGUAGCCACACAAUAUCCGUCUCUUUAUAAUAUUCUACAUCGUAAGGGCGCUUAUGUUGCUAUAGUAUUAUAGUAUGUUUCUCUAAACAUCCAGUUCAGGAGGUCCUUAGUAGGAGACCGAUGGGACGCGUGGCUAUAUCUUGUGCGGAGGCUGAUGGACAUUCACCUCUCUGAUGAGCCAGAUUCGAUUCACUGGAAACUAUCUAUGAAUAGAGUUUUUCAGUGAAAUCUAUGUAUCUAGACUUAACUAAUUCUAGUCCAAUUCCAAAAUCAUUACAUAUUUGGAAGAUUAAAGUACCUUUAAGAAUCAAAAUCUUCAUGUGGCUUGUUCACAAGGAGGUGAUUUAGACUAAGGAUAACUUGGCAAAGCGAAGAUGGGAGGGUAGUAAGCGAUGUUGCUUUUGUGAUCAGGAUGAAACUAUUAAAAACCUCUUUCUCGAUUGUCCUCUUGCCAAACUUUUAUGGCAUACAGUUCAUAUAGCCUUUAAUGUCAGCUCUCCAAAUAGUAUUAACACAUUAUUUGAGGAGCUAUUUUACGGUAUCUUGGUACUCCCAAAACAUGUGCUGGAGUACCGAACAGAUCUUGCCGUUCGUUGUGAAGGGUAACUUAGUUAUUUUCCCACGGGUACUUCCGAUAUUCUCCCUGUGAUCUCGCAUGGAUGCCAAAUACAGCUCCCAAAAGAAAAACAAAAACUCCAGAUUGAGUGCCAGAAAAAGCUCCCGUUCGUUCGGCCGGAAAUCCCGAUCGCUCGGUGCCUAGCAAUGGAGUGGCCGCGCCACCUCAAACCUGAUCCUUCGCUACCGCAAGCCGCCCUGCUGCGCCGCCCGUCGAGCCGCCACCGGCCAACCCCUGUACUGCGCCAUGGUUGCGGAAACGAGUCCUCGAUCAGCUUCACGGCAUAGAUCUUGUUCCGGCUCGUCCCAGACGCGGAUGCUUUCCCGUUACUCACCUACGAAGGACGUGCAUAGCCCGCCGGCAUGGGCUCAUCCCGGCAUCUCCAGACGCUGCGUGCAUAUCAAUAUACUACGUUUUGCUUGUAAUUGAAAAAAAAGACGCCAGAAUACAUGGGAGGUUAUGAGGGGAACCACGAAUAUGAAAUAAUAUUAGAAUGUUAUAUAUGAUUACGGUUUUGCCCCUUAAAUCAAGGUACUCCAGUACUUUUUAACUUAGUACUCCGUUGGAUGAGUGAUGGAGUACCAAGCAAUACUGUCCACUGGAUCAAGAGAAAUGUACGGUCUAUAUUUAUUUCGGGGUACUGUAAAAGAUCUCUAUUUGAGAGGUGGCUAAAUGGAGUGGAACCAAACUAUGCGGGACAUAUCCGGAUAGGAGUAUGCGCAUUACUUUGGGCUAUAUGGAACUGCAGAAAUGAAAUAAUUUUUAAAGUCAAACUCAUAUAAAUAUUUUGCAGGUUAUCUACAGGGCCACUGCAUGGUUCCAUAUGUGGUCAUUACUCACUCUUGCGGAAGCCAGGGAGCAUUUGGCUAUUGGGUGUACCCGGUGAAAGAUAGUAGCAAAGGGUACUUACAACCGGUUUGGAUGUCAAUCCAAUAAUAAGCAAGGUGUUUAGUCAUCUCAACCUAUUUUCACCGGUUGUUGUCAACUUUUAUUUGCUCUUCUUCCUUUUUAGCUCCAUGUGAGCUUGUAUUGAACCGCGGACAUUUUGGUACUUUUGCUUAAUAUAUUAUGGCUGCAUGAAUCAGUCUGAUGUAGAGGCCGGGGAUGACCCUCCUUUUCAAAAAUAAAGUCAAAGCGUCUUCGGCUCGCUUCAGUGCUUAUAGUUGUUGCUAGGUGGUCUACGAAUCUGGAUGUAGUUUUAUUAUUUCUUGUGUUCGUUGUAUUACCAUGAUUGGAGAUGGAUAGAUCAGAAGUUUCCCGCAAAAUAAUAAGAAUUGCCAUAAGUUUAGUAUCGGAAAAAGUUAGCAUGAAAAGAUCAAGACGUGCCUAGCUUAGCUUGUAAACAAUACAAUGGAGUGGUUGGUAAUCGGCCAGCAUUGUUUAUGUGACACUCCCCUUUUAAUCUGUUUUGCUGAUUGAGCACUGAGAGCCACGAUCUCAGUGGAUCGUUUAUUGCCAAAGUGAAUGUUCGGAAGGUCCCAACCCCGUGAAUUACAAUAAUCAGGUAGUACAAUGAUAGGUCUGCUCUUGACGUCUUCUUGGUGAGCAUAAAAUAGGCCAAAGAAUACGAGUGACAUGCAACUAAGUAUUGUAAUGACGUAGUACAAUAAUCAGGUAGAACAUACUGUGUUUCUUCUCUCCGAGAGAUGGCCGGACAUGCGGGCAGAUCCAGUGUUCCUCCAAAAAAAAGUCCAUGUUGCCUUCAAGUGAGACGGAACUGUUAUUUUCAACAAAUAUACUCCGUGUCAUGGCACACCACCUUGCAGGUUAUUAUCAGACAGAUCCAGAUGGGUGAGCUGCUUUAAGCCGCCAAGCUCUAUUGGGAUGAAGCCCCAAAAAUUGUUUCGCUGAAGGAUUAGGUAUUCUAACUGUUCAAGAUUACCAAAAGAACCUGGAACUUGACCAAUGAAAUUGUUGGAAGAAAAGUUUAACAGUCUUAGCCCUGAAAUAUUGCCUAGUGAAGCAGGGAGAUGACCUUCAAAAUUGUUAUUGUCCAAACAGAGAUGUUUAAGAUCUGGGAAGGUGUCACCAAAGUUCGAUGGCAGUGUUUUUCCAAGCAUAUUGGAAUAUAAGUAUAAAUAUUGGAGAGAAGACUGAUUGUAUUUGUACAGGGUUUCUGGUAUUCCACCUGAUAGCAUAUUUCCAGCAAGGCCUAAAUAAACAAGAGAUGGGAAACUUCCCAUCUCAUCAGGAAUGGUUCCCAUGAACCUAUUAUCAGUAAGCACGAUGUCUUCAAGCUGACUAUUGUUUCUUAGGCUUGGUGGGAUUGUUCCGGUGAGAUUAUUUGAGGAAAGCCAUACUUUCCUUAGAUUGGAUAGGCGACCUAUACCUAGGGGAAUUUCACCCAUUAGUAAGUUGGCAGAUAGGUCUAGGCUCCUUAGCUUGGAGCAGUUUGUGAGAGUAUCUGGAAUGGUCCCUCGCAGUGAGUUCUUUCCCAAGUCAAGGUAUUCCAGUCUGUGGAGACGGUUGAGAGGAGGUAACUCACCGGUGAAGCCAUUUUUGGACAGGUCCAGUGUCCUAAGGAACGUUAGGUUGCCAAGGGAGGAGGAUAUCCGGCCAAACAACCCUCGUUGUCUGAGGUAGAGCUUAGUGACUCGCCCCGAGCUGCAGUGGACGCCCUCCCAACUGCAAAGAGGGAAGCUGGUGUGCCAAGAUGUCAAGGCUUGUCUUGAGUCGUUGGUGAUGGCCCGCUUGAAAUCUAGCAGUGAGAUCAUGUCCGUGCUGUUAUCAUGGACUGUUGUCAUUGAUGAGCAGAGGAUGCUCCCGACUCCGCAAGAAAUGAGCAGCAACGGCAGUAGCAUAAGCAUGGUGGCGAGCCUUGCCGCUUGACUAAUGGCCAUGUCACCUGCAAAAUAAAGUUUGAAUGAAGAAUAAAACAUUGUGCGUACUAUGUUUACUGCAAGUUUGGUCAUUGCGUGCAUCAAUUGAUACACAAGCAUGCACCUUGCAUAUCUUGUUUUCAAAGAGAGAAAAAAAACUUAUGAGUAGGUCAUGAACAAUACUACUAGGUUUUGUGAGCUUGCUCUCAUGAACAACACUAAUAGUUUUCAUGAUCCAAUGGGGGGAAAUAUUAGAAGUAGAACCCAUGUGAAAAAUAUUAGUUUUGCCUUUUGUGAGAUUUUUGUUUUUGACAGUCAAGAAGAUGUAAGAAGCAGUACUAAGUACUAACUACUAACUGAGUAAGUAAUCAGGAUUCAGGAGGAGGAGGCACCUUUGCCCAAGAGAGAGUGGCUAGGGCACCUUUGCUCGGCCGAAUCACACGGAACGGCAGCCUCUCUUGCAUGGUUUUGCCGCCGCCGGCCGGGCUCUGAGGUGUGUCAGCCGUGAAGCCUGUGAGUUGAGUUGGAGGUUGGAACGCUGGACGCUCAAAUGGACGCUCAACUUGCUUUGCUUGCAGGUGUUUUAAAGAAAGAAACCACGCUCACAGUUACGUCCACACACCUGCAAGAAUACUCUCACGCACGGCUCAGUCCUUCUCAGCUGGAAUCAGACAGAGAUGCUCUCCUUUGGCCCUUACUGCUUGUUAGAGUAUGAUUUGUAAUCAUCUCCUGCCUUAUCUCUAGGAGAGACUUAUUGUCCUUCAAGCCUUGUACUCUGUAUAAAUCGCCCGAAGGCUCAAUACAACACCCAUCAUAUUCUCUCAAUCUCUCUUUAUUCCCUUCUAACAUGGUAUCAUCCUAGUCGGUCCAAACCCUAGCCGCCUCCCACUGCUUCCGCCCCGCGGCGCGCCCCUGGGGCGGUCGGCCUCCAUGACGGCCGCCGGGGGCCGCGCCGCCCAUACCUAGGGUUCUUCUACCGGUCGCGUUGACCGGUGCCCUAGAGAGUCUUUUUCUCAAUCCUUUGAUCCGGUUUUUUUUAUCUCUCGCCGGUCGCUUUGAUCGACGUUUCCUUUUUGGUUUUCAGAUCUAUGAUCUUUCUUUGCUUAUUCGUAAUUCAUUCAAAUUAUGACACCUCAGAUGGUAUUGUGCGUCUCGCAUGGCAUAUAGGCGUAUAUUGUGUGCAUAGUAUCGCCGCCUGGAGCACAUAUUGCUUAAUAGAGACAGCGAUCGGCUUGCAAUAUUAACUCUACGCCCACAUGCAGCUGGCAACAAUAUUAUGUUAGAAGCCCACUUGCAGCCGGCCACUAGAAGACAUUUUUACAUGUCUAGCAGAUUUUCUGGUAUUUUGAUUCCAAUCAGAUAAGGUUGAAAGAUCAAGUGGAAGUUUCUAAAUGCUUUUCUGGAGUAGAGUAGAUCAAACAUUAUUGUCCCAACUCUCAAGAGAAAGAAUAAAAGUGUUAUUGUCCAGGCCAUCCCCAUCGUCGCACCGCGUCACAUGGGCUUAAUUUUGUCACCAUUUGCAACAUGUUUACUAGUACUAUACAAUGCAAUGACGCAUCUUGCUGACAACACGUACUAUAUCAUAUAGAAGUACUACUAGAGACAACAAGGUCGCUUGACUAAUAAGCUGAAGCUGUGAUAUAUAAUUAGCAUUUGGCAAGCUAGACAGCAUUGUAAAACAACGCCUAGCUGUUAGACAGAGGAGUCCAGCUUUUUCAAAAAAUCAUGUUGAGGAUGUUGAGGAUGCAACGACACAAUAUUAAAAAAUAGUUGAGAUGUUGAGGAUGCACAUAGUUAAGAAGAUAAAACAAAAAGGGUAAAAAACAAAAAGAGUCACGCAACUAACGACACACGACUAAACAACUACACCACCACCAAUGUCCUGGACAAUAGACGAACCACAUGCAAGGUUCUCUGAAAGCAACGCCUCCAGAAAAGGAACACUGCCCAAGCACCGCUAUAGCCCGAUCCGGGUGUUGAAUGCCGGAUCUUGGGGUUUUACCGUGAAGAGCACGUCUAAGAAAUCUAUGCCUUCCAACAAAGUGCGGAGCGUAAACUCCGUCAUUGAAGGAUGCAACCAAUGAUUGUCAGACGGAGGAGUCCAGCUAAUUGAAAGAAUCUAUUGCGUUGUGCAACCAUAGUUGCGGACUAUGUCAAGUCUUACUCUUGUGUCGAAGCAUGCAAUAAUGGUAACAACAUACAUAUAAAGAAGGAAGACUCCACGUUGCUCAUAUUUUAAAGAGUGAAUUCCGAUUUUUACCCCCUAUUUGACAUUUUUUACACAAAUUACCCCAUUUAGCGAAAUUUCAUCCGUUUGGCCCUAUUUAGCAGAAGUUCUGCCACGAUUUACCCUAUUUAAAAUUUUACGAGUGUUCUGACCGGCAAGGUCCCAAUUGUCAGGUCCAGCCGGCAUGCCACAUCGACGAGUUUUUCUGCCUAUUUUUCUCUCUGCUGAACAGUCCUCGCAGCUUCUCCCGAUGGAGGUCCCUCACGUUGCAGGUAAAAAACCAUUGAUGUGGCAUGCCACAUGGACCUGACAAUUCAGACCUGCUCAUCAGAACACUCACAAUAUUUUAAAUAGUGUAAAUUGCGGCAGAACUAUUGCUAAACGGCGCAAAACGGAUGAAAUCCCACCAAAUGGGGUAAUUAGUGUCAAAAAUGUCAAAAUAGGGGAUAAAAACCGGAAUUCAUUCUUUUUCUAAAAGAGAGUUUCCUCCCCGAAUUCAUUUACCAGAAUCUAGUGUUCGUUACAGGCCCGCUAAGUCCAACUGAGCGGAAGGAAAAGAGUAGAGACAUCCCAUGACCAAGAAGCCUCUCUCUAACGGGACGAAACACCAAAGCCUGCUGGUGUCCACCCACGCAAUGUUCAAGGUUAUGAUCCGAGCCAGAGUAUAGCGUGCAAGGUGGAUGGGAAUUAAGAAGAGAUUUUUUUUUUCAAAAUGGUGGAAAAUUUCCACAACCUAUAGAUCAGAUAAUGACGAAACAGCAAGCGGAAGUUUCUUUGCGACUGCUACUAUACUCAAGGACGUACUUGAUUGCUAUAUUUAUAAGCAAAGUCUUCCUUUCGAACAGACAAUAUUGUCCCACCGCUAAAGAAAGGGAGAAAAGAAAAGUGUAGCUGUCCAGGCCAUCCCCAUCUUACCGUACCGGGUAACACGGGCUUACCAUUUGCAACAUGUCUAAAAACAAUAUAAUGAUGUACACAUCUCGCCAACAACCGAUAUCAUAUAAGAUUGCUACGCUGGAGACAACAAGUUCGCUUUACUAAGCUAUGAUAUAUAACCGGCAAUUGCUAUCUAGCAUUGCCAAACAAGAAGUACCUAGCUGUUAGAUACAGGAGACCAGCUAAUUCAAGGAAGGAAUCCCCUGCUUUGGCUGCCAUAGGUGUAGACUAUGCCAAGUCUAACUCUUGCAUACGAUGCAAACAAGUAAUGAUAAACAUGGAAAAAGAUGCCAGACCUUGUUGUGUCUUUUGUAAAGCGAGUUUUCUCUCCGAUUUCUUUUACCGGAAACCAACUUCCAUUACAGACCCCACGACCCCACUAGUACAACUAAUACGAAUAGGAAAAGGAGCAGAGACGGGAUGUCCCUUCAGCGAGGAGCCUAUGUCUAAGGCAAGUCAUAAUGAAGAGUAAAUUAGACUAGUGUCAUACAUAUGAUACCAGUUUAUCGUUACCUUCAUAGUGCAAAGUCCUUCCUCCCUUCCUAAAUAUAAGUCUUUGUAGAGAUUCCACUAUAGACCCAUAUGGGUCCAUAGUGGAAUCUCUACAAAGACUUAUGUUUAGGAACGGAGGGAGUAUCAUAGAUGGUCGCAUUUAUUAGCUUUUAAACUUAGUUUUUUUAAAUGUUAUGUGAUGGUAACAUAAAUUGUCUUGGCGGCGCCACUGAUUUUUGAAUCAUCUACACCAGUUUUGAGUGCCCACUUCCGCAUCAAGAAAAUCAGCAGCCGGAAAGUAAACCGCCUUUAGUAUCCGUGAACUCGGUGAUUCUUGAUCUUGCAAUAUUCUCCAUGCCCGCCUGGCUAGCAACGAGAGGUUGAAAAGCUCCAUGUCACGAAAGCCUAGACCUCGUCUGUAUUUCGGCAUGGACAUGGAAUCCCAAGACACCAAUGCGGUUUUCCGUUCACCCCCUUUGCUGCGCCACCAAAAUUUCCGGAUCAUGGACGUAAUACACUUGCACAGGCCCCUUGGUAGUUUGAACAUUGACGUGGAAUAUGUAGAAAUGGCUUGCACAAUAGACUUGAUUAGGACCUCUUUGCCCCUGCCUGGUAGCAUCUUCUCCAUCCAUCCUUGUACACGCCUCCAUAUCCGUUCUUUGAUAUACGAGAAAGUUCCAUUCUUCUCACGUCCAACAUCCAAUGGUAAACCGAGAUAUCUUUCAUUCAAUGACUCAUUUGUUAUCCCCGGUCUGGGCAGCCUUUGACAAAAAACAAUAAUGACUUUUGGGUUGCUUNNNNNNNNNNNNNNNNNNNNNNNNNNNNNNNNNNNNNNNNNNNNNNNNNNNNNNNNNNNNNNNNNNNNNNNNNNNNNNNNNNNNNNNNNNNNNNNNNNNNNNNNNNNNNNNNNNNNNNNNNNNNNNNNNNNNNNNNNNNNNNNNNNNNNNNNNNNNNNNNNNNNNNNNNNNNNNNNNNNNNNNNNNNNNNNNNNNNNNNNNNNNNNNNNNNNNNNNNNNNNNNNNNNNNNNNNNNNNNNNACUGUCCAAGUCAUUAUAAUUUGUUGCCAUAAGUUCAUUAUCAGAAAAAGUCAGCAUGACAAAACCAAGACGCAGCCUAGCAUAGCUUGUAAACAAUACAAUGGGAGUGGUUGGCAAUCCGCCAGCAUGGUUUAUUUGAAACUGCCCUUUUAACAUGUUUUGCUGAUUGUUGAGCACUAAGAGCCACAGUCUCGCCGGAUCAUUUAUUCCCAAAGUGAAGGUUUGGAAGGUCCCAACCCCAUGAAUUACACACAGCACCCCCAAAAAAAGAAUGAUAGGUUUGCUCCUGACAUCUUGGGAGCAUAAAAUAGGCCACAUAAUAUGAGUGACAAACCAAGUAUUGUAAUGAGUAGUCCAAUAAUCAGGUAGCUAGCACAUACUGUGUUUCUUCUCUCCGAGAGAUGGCGGGACAUGGGAGCAGAUCCAGUGUUCCUCCAAAAGAUGUCUAUGUUGCCUCCAAGUGAGACGGAACUGUUAUUUUCAACAAACACUCCGUGUCAUGGCACACCACCUUGCAGAUUAUUAUCAGACAGAUCCAGAUGGGUGAGCUGCUUUAAGUCGCCAAGCUCUAUUGGGAUGAAGCCCCAAAAGUUGUUUCGCUGAAGGAUUAGGUAUUCUAACAGUGCAAGAUAACCAAAAGAAUCUGGAACUUGACCAAUGAAAUUGUUGGAAGACAAGUUUAACAGCCUUAGCCUUGAAAUAUUGCCUAGUGAAGCAGGGAGAUGACCUUCAAAAUUGUUAUUGUCCAAACAGAGAUGUUUAAGAUCCGGGAAGGUGUCACCAAAGUUCGAUGGCAGUGUUUUCCCAAGCAUAUUGGAAUAUAAGUAUAAAUAUUGGAGAGAAGACUGAUUGUAUUUGUACAAGGUUUCUGGAAUUCCACCCGAUAGCAUAUUUCCAGCAAGGUCUAAAUAAACAAGAGAUGGGAAAAUUCCCAUCUCAUCAGGAAUGGUUCCCGUAAGCUUAUUAUCAGUAAGCACGAUUUCUUCAAGCUGACUAAUGUUUUUUAGGCUUGGUGGGAUUUUUCCGGUGAGAUUAUUUGAGGAAAGCCAUACUUCCCUUAGAUCGGAUAGGCGACCUAUACCAAGGGGAAUUUCACCCAUUAGUAAGUUGGCAGAUAGGUCUAGGAUCCAUAGCUUGGAGCAGUUUGUGAGAGUAUCUGGAAUGGUCCCUCGCAGUGAGUUGCUUCCCAAGUCAAUGUAUUCCAAUCUGUUGAGACGGUUGAGAGGAGGUAACUCGCCGGUGAAGCCAUUUUUGGACAGGUCCAGUGUCCUAAGAAACGUUAGGUUGCCAAGGGAGGGGAAUAUCCGGCCCAACAACCCUCGUCCAUUGAGGUACAGCUUAGUGACUCGCCCCGAGCUGCAGUGGACGC